RNAcentral lists this ribosomal RNA (643 nucleotides) under uncultured bacterium. Its description in RNAcentral is "bacterial SSU rRNA". The stretch from base 1 to 534 matches the Rfam family "Bacterial small subunit ribosomal RNA", at positions 338 to 873 of the family's 1533-position model. The record is from RNAcentral.
CCUACGGGAGGCAGCAGUGAGGAAUAUUGGACAAUGGGCGCAAGCCUGAUCCAGCCAUGCCGCGUGCAGGAAGACGGUCCUAUGGAUUGUAAACUGCUUUUAUACAGGAAGAAACACCUCUACGUGUAGAGACUUGACGGUACUGUAUGAAUAAGCAUCGGCUAACUCCGUGCCAGCAGCCGCGGUAAUACGGAGGAUGCGAGCGUUAUCCGGAAUCAUUGGGUUUAAAGGGUCCGUAGGCGGUUUAAUAAGUCAGUGGUGAAAGCCCAUCGCUCAACGAUGGAACGGCCAUUGAUACUGUUAAACUUGAAUUAUUAGGAAGUAACUAGAAUAUGUAGUGUAGCGGUGAAAUGCUUAGAGAUUACAUGGAAUACCAAUUGCGAAGGCAGGUUACUACUAAUAUAUUGACGCUGAUGGACGAAAGCGUGGGGAGCGAACAGGAUUAGAUACCCUGGUAGUCCACGCCGUAAACGAUGGAUACUAGCUGUUCGGAGCAAUCUGAGUGGNGAGAGAAGAGAGUAAGUAAGUACCACCGUCGGGUAGGUACGGUUCGUUCGAAGAAAGUUAAGUAAACGUUAAAAGUUAAGUUAAGUUAGUUACGGCGUUGAGGACGNGCCGACGGACGACGACGAGGGAGGAGGAG